UGUAGUAAAUCAGCUCAAAAGGGAGGGUCGGGGCUGGUUAGUACUUGGAUGGGAGACCGACUGGGAAUACCAGGUGCUCUAA
Molecule: ribosomal RNA, 82 nt
Filed under: Sinocyclocheilus anshuiensis
Lineage: Eukaryota; Metazoa; Chordata; Actinopteri; Cypriniformes; Cyprinidae
Source: RNAcentral